UGUGCCAGCCGCCGCGGUAAUUCCAGCUCCAAUAGCGUAUAUUAAAGUUGUUGCAGUUAAAAAGCUCGUAGUUGAACCUUGGGUUCGGCUGGCCGGUCCGCCUCACCGCGAGUACUGGUCCGGCUGGACCUUUCCUUCUGGGGAACCUCAUGGCCUUCACUGGCUGUGGGGGGAACCAGGACUUCUACUGUGAAAAAAUUAGAGUGUUCAAAGCAGGCCUUUGCUCGAAUACAUUAGCAUGGAAUAAUAGAAUAGGACGUGCGGUUCUAUUUUGUUGGUUUCUAGGACCGCCGUAAUGAUUAAUAGGGAUAGUCGGGGGCGUCAGUAUUCAGCUGUCAGAGGUGAAAUUCUUGGAUUUGCUGAAGACUAACUACUGCGAAAGCAUUCGCCAAGGAUGUUUUCAUUAAUCAGGGAACGAAAGUUAGGGGAUCGAAGACGAUCAGAUACCGUCGUAGUCUUAACCAUAAACUAUGCCGACUAGGGAUCGGACGGGAUUCUAUUAUGACCCGUUCGGCACCUUACGAGAAAUCAAAGUUUUUGGGUUCUGGGGGGAGUAUGGUCGCAAGGCUGAAACUUAAAGAGAUUGACGGAAGGGCACCACAAGGCGUGGAGCCUGCGGCUUAAUUUGACUCAACACGGGGAAACUCACCAGGUCCAGACAAAAUAAGGAUUGACAGAUUGAGAGCUCUUUCUUGAUCUUUUGGAUGGUGGUGCAUGGCCGUUCUUAGUUGGUGGAGUGAUUUGUCUGCUUAAUUGCGAUACGAACGAGACCUCGGCCCUUAAAUAGCCCGGUCCGCAUUUGCGGGCCGCUGGCUUCUUUAGGGGGA
This 827-nucleotide ribosomal RNA is filed under the name uncultured fungus. RNAcentral's name for it is "SSU rRNA". It matches the Rfam family "Eukaryotic small subunit ribosomal RNA", at positions 563 to 1420 of the family's 1831-position model. Lineage: Eukaryota; Fungi. The record is from RNAcentral.